CUGGCGACAACGCAGCCACCUCGCCUCUUCCGGAAGGUCCAAGCGCCGGGUAGCUGCGCCACCUGGCGGUCGCCGGGAGAGGUGGCCUGGGGCUUAACAGGUCUAAGGCUUCGAGUGGGAAACCCGCGUAUCCAGUCAGGGAGUGACCAGCGUGGCCGCGCCGUGAGCUCUGAGCAAGGGGCCUUUGGCCCGACGGUGAAAGUCGCCCGUCGCUGGCACCUGAGGCCCAAACAUCAGAAAGCAGCCAGGACCCAGAGGCCGCAAUGCAGCGCGACGAGACGCCCCGCCCACCCUCGGUGCGUCACGUUCAGGCGCGCGCUCGCGACUGACGUGCGCAGGCGCUUAAGACGCCGCGCAACCGCCAUUGCAUUCCUGUUGAGGAGUGGAGUAGCCGGUUAGUAGACGUCCACGGGCACGGAAGAGUACCCAUCCCAGAGCCAUGGUCUAUGCCUUUCUCAUCCACACCUUGCGGGCCCCGAAGGCUGAGGAGGGCCUUUGCCGAGUGCUCUACUCCUGCUUCUUUGGUGCGGAGAAUUCACCCUACGACCCAAGACCACGUGGUCCUGAGAGGGACAGGCUCCUCCGAAAGGAGCAGAUUUUGGCCACAGCCAGGCAGGUGGAGUCUAUGUGGCAGCUGCAGCAGCAGGCGUGUGGCCGGCCUGCCAUGGACCUGCAGUCCCAGUCUUCAGAUGAGCCAGUGCCCCUGCAGGAGGCCCCAUGUGGGGCCUUCCGCCUGGCCGCAGGGGACCCUUUCCAGGAGCCUCGGACAGUAGUAUGGCUAGCUGUGCUCUCAUUAGGCUUCACCCUGGUGCUGGAUGCCCACGAGAACCUGCUGCUGGCCGAGGGCACACUCCGACUGCUGGCACGCCUUCUCCUUGACCACCUCCGGCUGCUGGUCCCUGGUGCCAACUUCCUGCUGCGGGCUGACCGCAUUGAGGGCAUCCUCGCCCGCUUCCUGCCACAUGGUCAACUGCUCUUCCUCAAUGACCAGUUUGUCCAGGGUCUAGAGAAGGAAUUUAGUGCUGCCUGGCCCCGCUGACCCUUCACUGGGAUGGGACUUCCCAAGAGAGCAAGGAGGGAGGACGGGGGUGGAUGGACACACAGCCAGGUCUUCCAACCAUGUGGAGCUGGUCUAUCCUUUAGUAUUCCAGUACCAGUUUCUUGAGCCCGCAUCCUGCCUGAAGUGGGAUAGUCGGUACUGCCCCAGCACAUCGUAUGUGUCUCCUGGGCAUCGCUUGUUCUCCUCAGCUUUUGCGGCAUUGUGACUUGGAUCUCAGGGCAUGUGACGACUCCUUUCUCUCUACCCUGAUGUGUCUGCCCAGAUGCAGAAUACAUGCUCUUUCCCUUGAUGCCCCCAAAGAAUAGGGAAUUUGGGAGUAGCAGACUUUUCCUAAAGUUUAAGGGGAUAGAGGAGAGUUAUCUUAUAGAACAACAGAGCAUAAGACUUGAGACUGUCGUGUUCCCUGAAGUCUCUGAACCAUUCCCCCCAAGGAGGUCUUCUCCUGGUUCCCUUGGAGCCUUGGCCUCCCAUCAACUUUCAGGUUGCUCCCUUCUUUUUUAUUUUUUCACUAAAAAUUGUUUUUCUUUCUUCUUUUUAUUGUAAAAUAUGCAUAACAUAAAAUUGACCACUUUAACAAUUUUUAAGUGUACGAUUUAGUGGCAUUAAGUACACUCACAGUAUUGUAUCUAUUUUCAGAAGGCUUUCAUCAUUUAAAACAGAAACUCUGUACCCAUUAAGCAGUAACUCCCUGUGCUCUCUUCUGUGCUCUCUGGUAUCCAGCACCCUCAUUUCUUUUCCUGUUCGCACCGGGCAGUUUAGGGCUCCACCCCCCCACCUAACUUGUUCCCAGGCCUACCUUUUCCCCCCCUUAACUGAUUGAACCCAGGACCUCGUACAUACCAAGCACACGCUCUACCACUGAGCUAUACCCCUUGACCCUCCCAGGCCUGCCUUUUGAUAGCAUAGCUGUGCCUCCUUAAAAAGGGGUGGGGGAAGGACUGUCUGGGGCUCCAUCUUCAGCAGCUCAAAGCACAUUUUCAGUUCUGCUUUGAAAUCACAAACUCUUACAGGACAUAAUUAAAUCUCAGGCAAGACUUCCUUCCACACUGUUAUAUGUAAUGGAAAGAUCUAUCCUUCCCAAGGUGAGUCAUUUGGUAUAUAUUCCCCUUAAGAGGCAGGUAUAGCUGUACUAAUUUUUAACAGCUUUUUUCACCCCACCCCCAUUAUGUAUGUUUAUGUGUGUGUUAUGUAGUUUAAUACUUCUUUUUCCCAUCAGGUUAUAAUCUCCAGGAGAAUUUAUAUUGUGUCUUUUAUUUUUUACAUUUUACUUAACACCUGACAUGGCACUGAGGCACAUAGCAGCUACCCAAUAUAUAUUGAAUGAAUGCAUGCAUAAAUAAAAAGGUGGUUUAUAGGAGAGGCUUGGGGCCAGGGAUUCUGCAACAUCUCCAUGUAGCAACUUUUUCUUUCUCCUGGGAAGCAGAUAGAAACAACAGACUGUGUCUGUUGUCUCUCAAGGUUGGAGCUGCUCAGGAUCAUAAGUCCCUUUCCCAGAAGAUAAGCUACUUGUUACAGCAAAGGAAACAUCAUGUAGCACUUGCAGGUUUCCUGCUGCAAGGCUCCCUGUGUUCGCAGGUUAUGCUGACUUGCUUUCUACACUUCUGCUAAUGAAUAGGAAUGAUCCUUCCCUUCAGUGUUCUGAGAGAGGUUAGAGUUACCACAGGCCUAUGAUUUCUGCCCCUGGGAAAGGUGAGUAAAAAAGUGGUCAGAACGCCUCCUCUUUCUGAAACAGUCACCUGGAAGUGGCUUUGUCCACCCUAAUUGUGCAAGCCACAUCAGCAUGAGGGUCCAGAAGUCUUUGGGCCAGUAGAGAAUUCCCCUUCAUGUAGAGCUGGAACCAGAGCAUUUACUAUCAAGGGCAUUGUUUGGGAUUGAUACUUGAUCAGAAGCAAAAGGACAUUAAAACCCUUUGUCAGGUCUUUGGCUCAUGUGACCCUAUAAUAUCCAGGUGAUGAAAACAAAGGAGCUCCUGGGCAAGAGGAGCCAUCCUGGAUUCCAAGAGGCCCUAAGGUAGGAGGCUGAUAAUGAUCAGCAAACAUUAAUAACAUUCCUAUGUCCAUGAAUAAUGAGUUAGUAAAUAUAAUGAAAGAUAAGAUCCCAUUCGGGAUAAAGACAAAAAAUAUAAAAUACCUAGGAUCAAACAUAAUUAGAAAUACAUUGGGUCUAUACAAAGAAGAUCUAUGAGCUAUACUGAGAUGCUAAAACCAGUGGGUGAAAGGUUGACGAGGAACAAGAUUUGUACAUAGCUUCUAAGUAACUUUCCAUGAAUUACUUAUUAGCUAAAAAUGGGGAAAUGGUAAAUUUUCGGUGGAGAAACUGGAGGGCACCCCCUUUAUCAAGUGAUCAAGGUGAACGUCCCCAGUAAUGGGACAGACAGACAUCCUUUGUCUCCUGGAUGUGCAGGAAGGACACAGUGCCAUGUCUGAGCAUUAAAAAUGUUUAACCUGAAUCUGAUCAGGAGGAAACCAGACAAACCCAAAUAGAGGGAAAUUCUCACUUGUACUCUUCAAAAAUAUCAAGGCAGUGAAAGGCCAAGGAACUGCUUCAGAUUAAAGGAGAACCAAGAAACAUGACAACUCAAGGCAGUAUGAGUUUUCCUGAGUCAGGAAAAAAUUGUUAUUGUUGGGGCAUUAUUGAGAUAGUGAUGGGACCUGGAAGCCAUAGACUUUGAAGGAAUUCAUGAAUAAAAUUCACGGAUUCUACAAACUUGGAUGGGAAAAAAAACUCCUUAAAAAGCUAAUUAUUUGAAAUUAAUAUUUACUUCCUUUUAAAAAAAAUGUUUACAGUUUUAUGAUGUACAGUUGGCAUACAAUGAGCCAAAUGACAUAAAAUGGAAAUUUGUUUGUUUGUUUAAUAAAGGAGAAGUAGCUGCUUCUCUCUUCACCUUAGAGUGUCUCUUAACAAUGUCAUAGGCCUGAACAUUUGGUUAGGAAUUAGAUAAACCCAGUCUCUGAAUUUCACAGUAAAGCCUUCUGACCUUAGAACUCUAUUCAUGAACCUCUGAAAUUAACUCAGGAGCGAGGUGGAUGGGAAACUAUCACAAGUUUCAUUCGUCUCCCAAGGAAAUGAGAGAAAAUUUAAUUGUUUUUUCUUCUUUUUUACAUAUAUAAAAUAUGUGAAAUGCAGCCCAGACUUUGUAGUGUCUUAUGGAGUACCUGUAUAUUUGUAAUCUGAUCGCAUUUUCAAUAAUAGUGUUUUAUCUCUCCUCUGUUGGUACAUAAAGUUCUUUCUGUUGGCAGGAUUCCUUAUUUCUCCAACAUUACACAUAUUUAAAGUGUACAAUUUGAUGAGAUUUGACAUAUUUAUAUAUCCAUGAAACCAUCACCACCAUCAAGAUAGUGAACAUAUCUAUCAUCUCUCCCCCAAAGUGUGCCUUUUGUAAUUUCCUUCCUUUUUAAAUAUUGGCCACAAAUGACAAUGGUAUUAGCAGGAGCUGAGACUUGGGUCACCAAAAGGAAUUAUGGAUAUUUUAAUAUCAUGAUAAGAGUUGAUACAGAUCAUCUCAGAUUAUCGUCUAUGCAUGAUACCUCUUAAAUGUUUUAUUUAUUUACUGAAACAUUUGUUUAAUAAUAAUUAUAUUCCAAUAUUAUUGGGACUUUAGUGUAACCCUGUGUAUCUUUAAAAACAUUGUUCUGGCCUAUGAACUAUAAAGACAGACAGCCCAAAGAGUCACCGGCCUGAAGCAGGUUAAGUGCCCAUGUUCUAAAGAAACAGAACAGCCUCAUGUGUGAGACCCUUGUGUUGUGGCCUAUAGGGCUGUUCCACAGGGAAGUCCCCACCUGUCCCCCUCAGAAGCAAGCCAAGAGGUGGAUGUGCACAGAACUUCCCUGAUGCUUCUUAUUGCCUCACUCUUAAUGCAAACACAGUUCACCAGACAUUUGGGGAACGCCUACAACAUAAAAAAGAAGCUAGAUGAGCAAACAGCAAGAAAUAGUUUCAGAGGAAGACCAUGCAGGGAAAAUAAGAGAAUUUUUUUUAAAAUUAAAAGGCUUUCUAAUUUCUUUUCUCAGUAAUGAGGUUCAAGAAGAUAUCACAUCCAUAAAGAUACAUUAAAGUGAGAAAAGCAAGGACAGAUGUGUAAUAAGCUGAUAAUUUUUGUGCAAACAAUUACUUGGUUCCCUUGGAAUAGAAACUGCAUGGUUGAGGCACAAAGGUGAAAGUCAAGGAUGUAUAGCUGCUGUAUUGCAUAUUUUAAAAUAAAGAUGUUAAAACGUAAAAAAAAAACCAGAAAACAAGAAUAGAUUAUCCGAAAAUAAACGUAUUAUUCCUUAUGUUAAAAAUUAAUUAGAAGAUUUGGAAAAUAAAGUUAAGGAAUUAAGGAACCUAAAAGAAGGACAAAAUAAAGGAACAGAAAAGGGAAGAUACAGGGAAUCUUGUCACUCUGCACAAAAAAGAAGCAGGGUACUUAGGAUUUGUUGGUUAGUUCCAGAAGUGGGAGGCAUGGUGGGUGCUGUGGACUAGUGUGGUAGAUUGCCCUGACUUUUUGACCCAUCCUUUAUUCACACCCUUGCAAGAGAUAGAGUCUAUUUCCACUUCCCUUGAAUCUGGGCCAGCCUUAUGACUUGCUUUGGUUAAUACAAUUUGGUAGAAUUAAUGUGCCAUUUUGGAGCCUAGGCCUGAAGAGCAUUUUGCUCCUUCUUCGAAAGCUGCCCAGCCUAGGCUAGGCCGCUGGAGGAGGAGAGACCACAUGGAGCAGAGAGGAUCCAUCGCAGCUGAGCCCAUCCUAGGCCAGUCAGUUCCCAACAGAAUUGGCAGCUGACUGCAAGGGCUCUAGUGAGCCCAGAUUAGAUGAGAACUUCCUAGCUAAGCCCAGCCCCAAAUUACCAACCCACAGAAGCGUGAGCUAAGUAAAUGGUUGCUAUUUUGGUCUGUAACAUUUUGCGGUAGCUUUUUUACUCAGCAAAAGCCAACUGAUAGAACUAGCUCCUUCUACUUCCUUAUAGAGUGUAUUCCUAUAUUGGGCAGAGCCUGGAAGGUAAAAAAUUAGACUCCUUUGCAGCUACAGUUAACAAUAUUAAGAUCUGACAAUGAGAUGCCCCACCAGAGAUUGGGGGUGGAGGGGCAGAGAUCAUCUUUCUGCUGUCACUUCUGCUGACAGCAAGGACACAAAGAUGUGAAGGUCUCACAUCUCCGUAGCCAGACUCAGCAUAUUCCUACAUCAGCCAGAUUUUGAGACAGAGCCAUGUGGAGCUGGGGGUGGCAGCAGUGGCCUUCUUUCUUCUGACCACGGCUAUGGUGAUGUGCUCUUGAACUCUGAUACUCCACGGCAGCCUCCUGACUCCUGCCUCUUCAGACUUCCUUCACCAUUUUGCAACCAAUUCCCUGUAUUAAAUUCCUUCCUGUGAAAAAACUGACCAUGUCAAGUGUUGGUGAAGAAGAGGACCGUACUGGAGCACCUGGAACCAUCAGUGUACUGCUGGUGGGAGUGGAAAGUGGUGCAAUCAUUUUGGAGAGUUGUUUGGAACCUUCUUAUAAAGCUAGGCAUACUCUAUCCUAUUGUCCAGCAGUUUUAAAAUGAGGUGUUAACGCCACAAAAAUAUUUACAUGUGAAUAUUUAUAGGAGCUUUAUUCCUAAUAGCCCAAACCCCGAAAAGCCCAAAUAUUCCAUUAAAAGCAGAAUGAAUGAACAAAUUGUGCUAUAUUCAUAUAAAAGGCUUAGCAAUGAAAGCAAACAAACUCCUGAUACUUGGCACAACAUAGAUGGAUGUCAAAAACGUGUGAAAGAUGCCAGACAUAAAACUAUGUCUUAUGUGAUUCCAUUUAUAUUAAAUUCAGGAACAGGCAAAACUAUGAUGAUGGAAUCAGAAUCAUGAUUGGGGAUGGAGAUUGAUAAGUGAGUACAAGGGAACUUUCUGGGGAGAUGGGAAUAUUCUACACUUUGAUCUAGGAGCUGGUUACACAGGUAUUUAGGAAUUUCAGGAACUCUGCUAUCUCACUUUAAAGGCGUGUCCUGCCUUGUACUCAUUUUCCGGUUUUUCCCCAAACUCCAAGUACGUGUCUGUUGCCAAGCAACUUAUGUCAGUAGUUCUCAGAAAGGAGGGCCAGGAUGGCGGCCCCUGAGUGGCAGGUGACGAGCAACCUGAUGUUCUGAGGCUGAGAAGGAGGCAAGACGGGACCCGGAAGU
Molecule: non-coding RNA, 7184 nt
Organism: Vicugna pacos (alpaca)
Lineage: Eukaryota; Metazoa; Chordata; Mammalia; Artiodactyla; Camelidae
Source: RefSeq, a predicted model, not a curated record